GAUGGCAAGCACCAUCAUGGAGGACGAAUUUCCAACAGCAAGAAAUACAGGGAGAGUGGUUGCGCAAGGAGACAGAGCAGGGACAAGUAUAAGCCCUGCCACAGCCAUCUUCUCCAUUGGUUGAUUGUGUGAAUGGCUAUGACCACCCUUUCCAAAGAGAUGUAAGAUGACAUAGCUACCACCAAGAACUACAAGCAGUAAGGAAGCCAGUUUGUGCACUGUUUCCUCCCCAGCAAUUGUGUUUGAUAUCGUUAUUGCCGUUAUGCCAAGAAGUGAGGUGGAUAACACGUGCAAUACUGCUCCAAAUGCAGUGACGAAAAGGGUUCUUGAAAGAGUCCAUUUUUGAGCACGACCCACAAUGGAAAAUGGCAACCAAUGAGUUGGGAUGAAGGAAUGAAGCAGUGAUACGGUAGCAAUACCUCCGAUCUUCGACAGAUCUUCUGCAGUAAACCCAUUUUCCAUCCUUAAAUUUUGCUGAUUUAUUCAGAAAAACAUCAACUUUUU
This 504-nucleotide unclassified non-coding RNA is filed under the name Hevea brasiliensis (rubber tree). Lineage: Eukaryota; Viridiplantae; Streptophyta; Magnoliopsida; Malpighiales; Euphorbiaceae. The record is from RNAcentral.